UCCCUGGCGGUCCAGUGGUUAGGACUCAGCACUUUUGCUGCUGGGGCCCAGGUUCAAUCCCUGGUUGGGGAA
Molecule: non-coding RNA, 72 nt
Organism: Balaenoptera musculus (blue whale)
Lineage: Eukaryota; Metazoa; Chordata; Mammalia; Artiodactyla; Balaenopteridae
Source: the annotation of a RefSeq genome assembly